Molecule: ribosomal RNA, 251 nt
Filed under: uncultured bacterium
Lineage: Bacteria
Description: partial 16S ribosomal RNA
Rfam family: Bacterial small subunit ribosomal RNA
Source: RNAcentral
UACGUAGGGAGCAAGCGUUGUCCGGAAUCAUUGGGCGUAAAGCGCGCGUAGGCGGCCCGGUAAGUCCGUUGUGAAAGUCAAAGGCUCAACCUUUGAAUGCCGAUGGAUACUGCCGGGCUAGAGUCCGGAAGAGGCGAGUGGAAUUCCUGGUGUAGCGGUGGAAUGCGCAGAUAUCAGGAGGAACAUCGAUAGCGAAGGCAGCUCGCUGGACGGUACUGACGCUAAGGCGCGAAAGCGUGGGAGCGAACGAG